Molecule: long non-coding RNA, 3202 nt
Organism: Monomorium pharaonis (pharaoh ant)
Lineage: Eukaryota; Metazoa; Arthropoda; Insecta; Hymenoptera; Formicidae
Exons: 2
Source: RefSeq, a predicted model, not a curated record
AUUUCAAGAUUUUCAUUUUGAAACUAAAGAUAUUGUCAAAAUAACAAUAUUUUUCUGUACGGUUAUUAUAAUAAUAGAAUUCGAGAUUUUAUAACUACGGACUGUUCGCUAGAUUUUAUUAUGUGGUGAUUUAAGAUCUCUGAUUCAUCCGUUUUUGAAUAGACUUACUGUAUGAUUGAAUCCAUCAGAUUUCCAAUUAGUGCAACAAGACUCUUUUUCAAUGUACGGAAGUGACAUAAGGAAAUGGGGCUUGUGCAUCGGCCCGAUAUAGAUUCGCGCCGUGCUCCCGCCUUAUACUAAAGAUUUCCGUUCUCCAUCUGCCGUCGUCUCCCCUUCGAUUGUUCUCUCCCCUCCCCCCCUUCCUACCCCCGAGAGUUUUGAUUUGCACGCCGUUAUUAUUCAUUUGACGUUGCGCGGAUGCUAAAAAUAUCGGUUCCGACUCGAAUCUGAUCUUCGUGGCUAAAUUUAGUUACAUAUUUGUAGUCAUAAGUUAUCAGUCAGACAGAUUAAAGAUAAUUUAAUUUUCUUCCAUAAGACAAUUAAACGAUGUCGCGAAAAAUGAUAUCGAUAAUUCUAAAACGGAAAAUUAAAUUUGGAUAAUUAUGCAUUUCCCAAAAUUAAAUAUCGCUAAAGAUGAUUUAAUUGCUUGCAUUUUAAUAUGUCUCCUCGAAUAGUUCUUGCCGUCUCCGCAUUGGAAAUUAAAGAUUGCAAAUUGAGGAUUACAAUUUAAACAAUUAAAACGAAAUAGAUAAAUUAAAAUUAAAAUUAUUUGAUUGAUCGAGUUCUAAUGUUUGAUUUGCAAUCUUUAAUUUUUAAUUCACGGUUAGAAAAGUGUUAAAUAACAUAUAUCGCGUAUCCCAACGAUUGACUAACGUUUUUGUAUUAAAUUAACAAAAGGUGAAUGUGUCAGAAAGUUACAUAAAUGUUGUGUAAAGAAUUAAAAAUGUAACUUUAGCACAAUUUAGAAACAGAGUAAAGAUAUUUUUUUAGUAAAAUUAACAAUUAUAACGUGCUGAUACACAUACAUUUUAUUUAGUAAUUUUUGAAAGAGUGAGAGAAAGGGAGAAUUAAUUUUUUUUAAUUACAUUAUCUUCAUUUAUUUAUCCACAAACUGUGUUAUUUUACACUAAGAAAUAAAUAUCAAUUUAACACAAAAAUAUUUAAAUACAACAAAAAAAUAAGUACGGAAGGUUUUAACAUAAAAUGUUUAAUCUGAUACGAGCUUAAUUAAGAUUGCGGAUUAGAAGCAUCUGGGAUUGUCGAAACAUUGUAAUUAUUUCUCGGAGAUAAAGAUUCUAUUGCGCUAUAAGUCUGCCUGUUUGUUUUAAAGGCUAAGUCGUUUCGGCGCUACCGCUCAACUUCGGACAAUUAGGGAGAAUUAAGGCGCGCCACGCUCUUAACUCUUUCGUUCACUGAACUUGUGGGCGAGAAAGCUAUGCAAUUUAAGAGCAUAAAGUCUCUCGCGAGUCUCGACGGACGCAACAGUGCGUGAAAGUGUCGAUUCAUCGAACACGCAAGGGCGUGAACUUACAUCGAUUUACGCCAAGUGUCGUUACGCUAACUCGUGCGAAACAAGUUUGUCGAUCAAUUUCGUUCGGGUUGCGUGGUGACGAGUGGAAAAAAAAAUUGGUGAGUGAAAAUUUUUCCAUCGUGGAAUACGAAAUGACAAUUAAAUAUGUACAGCCUUCGCGCGAAGGUUGUCAACAAAAAAUCCGGAAAUGCGGAAAAUAUUUUCCGGGAAAAUAUUAGCCGAUAGCAUAAAUAAAAUCGAAAUAAUGCACUUUCGAAAAGUAAAUCACUCGUAAAAGUGUAAACACAAUUGGAAAUUAAACGUGGAAAUAUUGUGAAAGCGCAACGCGAAUUCGUGUCGCGUUAUUUCACCUCUAGGUUGAAUCCGAAAUUGAAUAGGGUUUCAAAUAUUUGCCAGAAACGUAGGAUUGCGAGUGCUCGUUGGAUUUGCCUUUAAUUCGCGAAAUGCGCGGGAGCUUAUAAAUUUUCCGAGAUUAUGGCGAAGUAAUAAGAAAUGUAAAUUACAGCUGACAAGUCAUCGCGAGGAAUAUGUGGCGGUUUAUAUCGCAACGGGACAUGGUUUCUGAAUUAUUACCGAGUUUAACCCGAAGUAUUUUCGGCCCAUCGACGAUUACAUGUCGAGACACAUUACGCGCCCGAGACACCAAGGUUCGUUAACCCCCACACGGAAAAAACAAGCGCAGUUGUAUUAACGUGACAUGUUUGGUUCAACAAGAUUUAGCUGGAUUAAAUGGAAUUUCCGAUUAUCAUAAUAAAAUAUUGUGGUAACCAAGAAGAACAUUUAGGUCUAACAAUGGUCAAAUUUUGAUUACUCCUGAUUUAGUUAUAAUAUCUAAUUGCAUGGUUAUUAUGACUAUAUAAUAUAGUUAGAUAAACAUGACAUGUAUAGUAAAAUUAAACACAAUUUUUCAAAAAUUGUUUCAUUUGACGAUUGUGUUGUUGAGUUUUCCUAGAAACCGUGAACGAGUUUGGACGUGCUGUGGAAAAUUUAAGUUCUUGCAAAGAUUAUCUCUGCUCAAGUGCUCUGCAUUGUAUCAUUCAAUAGCCUGUUCUUUUAUCGCACCAGUGCUGCACUGCUGCACUGGUGCGAUAAGGCAGAAUGAAAAAAAAAAAAUUAUUUGUCUUACUCUAACCUGUUACUCUAACCCUGUGCAGCAGUACAGGGACAAAGAACAAGCCAUGAGUUUGAUUUUGUUAUUAAAUUUGUUUUCGCAACACAAUUACGUGUUUUCGGUGCCAGUAUCGUUCUCGAUAUCUAUGGGGAAGAAACGCAACAAGCCAUAAAUAAUUCUAAGAAGAACUAGUACCACCAUCAAAUUUAUUUGUAAAAAAUGGUGGUUACCUAAAUCAGAAUAUGUCACUAUUCGGAUUAAUAAACCACAUUAUGCCUGUUUUUUUAAUCAAAAGUCUAAUCAUAUUAUUAAGAUUAAUUAAAAAGAAUUAAUGACGAAGUUGACUUUAACUGGCAAGUAUUUUAUUCGAAUUAAUACGACGUUUUGGCCCUCGCUUUGAGCUCUUAUCAAAUACAUAUACAAAUUAAAUUCUUCAAUAAUAGCCACACAUUUUUACUAAUUGUGCCAACAAACCAUAAAACUGAAUGCAAUUCAAGUAACUCCAAAGUAUGUAGAAAAGAUUUAAAAAAAAAAGAAGAAUUUAAACUCUAAGCAGAAAA